RNAcentral lists this non-coding RNA (104 nucleotides) under Bacillus amyloliquefaciens. Its description in RNAcentral is "TPP sequence". It matches the Rfam family "TPP riboswitch aptamer (THI element)". Rfam says of the family: Vitamin B(1) in its active form thiamin pyrophosphate (TPP) is an essential coenzyme that is synthesised by coupling of pyrimidine and thiazole moieties in bacteria. The previously detected thiamin-regulatory element, thi box was extended, resulting in a new, highly conserved RNA secondary structure, the THI element, which is widely distributed in eubacteria and also occurs in some archaea. The record is from RNAcentral. RNAcentral also lists the same sequence under 4 other names. Lineage: Bacteria; Bacillati; Bacillota; Bacilli; Caryophanales; Bacillaceae.
AAAAGUCACUAGGGGAGCUUUAAUAGCUGAGAAGAGACAAUACGUCCUGACCCUUUGAACCUGAUUUGGUUAAUACCAGCGUAGGGAAGUGAAAAAUUAGAGAG